Long non-coding RNA from Scylla paramamosain (green mud crab), 538 nucleotides. RefSeq lists it as uncharacterized. The transcript is spliced from 3 exons. The record is from RefSeq and is a predicted model, not a curated record. Lineage: Eukaryota; Metazoa; Arthropoda; Malacostraca; Decapoda; Portunidae.
CUGUGCUCGAACAGGAGAGGUUCUCAUACUCCACGUCCGUGAAGGCCCGGUAGACGAUCAGUCAAAAAGCAAGACGUGUGUUGAGAAGGAGCAACGAAACCGUGAGAUGGCAAUAAGAUUUAUGAGCUGGCAAAAGAUUCUCCUCCACCACAUUGCUGUUAGGCGUCCACUGCUGCUCCUCGGAAUUAUUUUUGGCUGCUUUCUUUGCCUCCUCAACCUUCUUCUUGGCCAUCUGCUGCUGUCGUAGCCGUCGCUGCUGCUCCUCCUCCUCCCGCUGCCGUGCCUCUCUCUGCUGCCGCUCAAGCUUUUGCUGCUCCUUGGCUGCUGCUGCCAUCUGCUCAUUCUUCAGCCGGGCCUCCUUUGCUCGCCGCAUCCGCUCCUCAUUACACCUGAGGGAAGCUCCUGAAGGCGCAAACUCUCCAUCUCCUCCCUGGUGGGGCGUGCUGGCUGGGUCUUGAUGAAGGAAGUGACACCAGUGAUAAUGUUUGCAGGACGGCGGCCUUCACUUGGGGUCCCUACUAUCUUCUAGAGCAUAGAG